AUACGUAGGGGGCAAGCGUUGUCCGGAAUGACUGGGCGUAAAGGGCGUGUAGGCGGCCGAUUAAGUCUGGAGUGAAAGUCCUGCUUUCAAGGUGGGAAUUGCUUCGGAUACUGGUUGGCUUGAGUGCGGAAGAGGUAAGUGGAAUUCCCAGUGUAGCGGUGAAAUGCGUAGAGAUUGGGAGGAACACCAGUGGCGAAGGCGACUGCCGGGGCCGUAACUGACGCUGAGGCGCGAAAGCGUGGGGAGCGAACAGGAUUAGAUACCCUGGUAGUCCACGCCGUAAACGAUGGAUACUAGGUGUGGGUGUCGCAGGGCAUCCGUGCCGCAGCUAACGCGUUAAGUAUCCCGCCUGGGGACUACGGUCGCAAGACUGAAACUCAAAGGAAUUGACGGGG
Molecule: ribosomal RNA, 395 nt
Filed under: uncultured bacterium
Lineage: Bacteria
Description: partial 16S ribosomal RNA
Rfam family: Bacterial small subunit ribosomal RNA
Source: RNAcentral